This is a long non-coding RNA of Mercenaria mercenaria, 1930 nucleotides long. RefSeq lists it as uncharacterized. The transcript has 3 exons. NCBI's taxonomy places the organism in Eukaryota, Metazoa, Mollusca, Bivalvia, Venerida, Veneridae. The record is from RefSeq and is a predicted model, not a curated record.
UAUACGACUGAUGACAAUAAGUUAAUUUCAUUUCCAAGGUAACACUAUUUUAUAAGAUAUCAAUAGGUUUUCUUUCAUUGCAGUUUAUGAAAUCAAUUUGUCAAGACAGUGGAUUGAAACCGCAGAUCAAACAUGAAAGCACAUAUCGGAAUCAUUUGUUUGUGUGUUAUUUUGGCAGCAAGCAACCCUCUGCCAUUUACGGAUGAUCUUCCAAUAGAGUACGACUUUUCCGCAUUUCGGUUUAGUCCAUUACAUUUCCUUCGUUCCUACCCAAGGAUGUUUCAAUAUAUGGACUCUGAUGCAAUGAUUGAUACACCAGAUGUCGUGGAUACAGAUAUGUGAAAACCAGUUGCCAUGGAUACAGAUAUGUGAACGUAAAAACUAACUUCAAAAUAUUGUUGACAAGAGCGAACGUGUCAUUACCUUUAUAUGAACUAUUUCUUUAUGCUUCUUUUUCAUGCAUUUAUUAUGAAGUUGUUAAUUUGUUCUCAAAGCUUUCGGUUUACUAUUUGGUAUAUUUGUGAUAAGUGUAUAUUGUUAUUGUGAAAAGGCUUAUUUCUUGUGAUAUCUAAUGUGUUUGCAAUUAAAUUCGUAAAUGGAAAGGUGUCUAUAUGACAUAUAUUUAUUUUAAACUAAUUAUAAAAUGCACUUUUAUAAAUUAAUACCUGAUACUCAUAGAAUGUUUAAAAGCGUAGCGACUGUUUAAAAUCAAACCAAUUGGCUACAUUGAUUUUAUUAAAGGGCAUAUAAUCAAUGGAAUUAAGCCUGCAAAGUGUUAUUCAAAUCUAGUUAAAGUACAUGUAUUUCUAAAAGCAACAACUAUCUAUUUAAAUUAAUUUUAUACAGUAAAACAGUUAUUUUCAUCUUUUAGUACCUUGAAGUCACAUAUGACAUAGUUUUCAGAUUGCAAUUUAUUGUUGACAUGAGCUGCUGUUAGGUUAGUGAUAUGUUGUAAGGCUUGUUUGUGUCCAUUAGAACAGAAUGUUGACACUUUACAUUAAAGUCUCGAUGUACUGGUUAAGAAAUUAAAGAGCGUGUGUUUCUCUCUUUCAUUUCUAGCGAAAGCUAUAGCUAAAAAGACUUUUCUAAAGCUACUGAUGAUAAAAUAAUAUUUUAGCGUAUAUUACUUCAGCAAUUAUUCAAGGAAUCAAUUAUUCAAGGAAUUGCUGGAAGUCAACUUGGCAGAUUAUAUCAGACAGUGACCACGUUCUUGAAAAUUUGCGAAUUGAUAUACAUGUACUGUCAAUGUCAGUAGAAAGUCGUCUCUUGUUUAUCUGGCGUACAUAUGGUGUACAUGUUUGUCUGUUUAUUCCCAAUAACGAAAAAGUUAGCACAUCAUGUCUAGUCUUACCAUUUGUUUUCUUUGUUACCCCAUGAACCUCGUCUUUCUGUCUUGUACAAUUUAUGGCAAAACAUAUGUACUUGUUUGUGAAACGCGCAUUUCUAUAUAUAUCAAUACAUUUGUACAUUUCGUACUUCAUAUUUGAUCUAUUAUGACUAUUUUAGCCUUCGGUACAGUAAAUGCAAGAUGGUUGAACAAAUUACAGUAACUCUUAGGUCAAACUUCUUUUACAAUCUCCUAGAUGAGUCCAUCUGGUUAUCGACACAAACACUUUUGACACAUAAUAAUUACUGUUGACUUUAUCUAUAAUUAUCGUUGCCCAAUUUCUGUUACGCUCAUCCAAUAGAGGCCGAAUCUAAAUACUUCUUGAAAUUUCUAACAAACAUCAAAAGGGUAUCUUUCCUCCACAACUGGUGGGUUAUUGUUAAAUCCUGGAUGCUAUGACUGUUUCUUAUGAUAUUUGAUAUGAUAUAAUACUGUAUGUGUUUUGCUAUACAUGUAUAUAUGUUUGUUGUCUUUGCCAUUCUUGUAUGCAUCUGUAAAUGGCCAAAGGCAAAUUAUUUUGAGGAAUAUGCCAAUAAAAAUGAA